RNAcentral lists this long non-coding RNA (484 nucleotides) under Mytilus galloprovincialis (Mediterranean mussel). Lineage: Eukaryota; Metazoa; Mollusca; Bivalvia; Mytilida; Mytilidae. The record is from RNAcentral.
AAAACAUCUAAGGGUAAAUUUAAAGUCAGAAUUUCAAUAAAAAAUAAAAAAUUAAGGAACAGUUUAGUACAUUUCAGCCUGUAAAUAAGGUUCAUUUUUAUAAUGUAUCUCUCAAUGCAUUUAUAAAUAUUUGACAGUUUUAACAUUUAGAUGAUUCUCUCUUCCAUGCAACAUACGGGUAGGUAAGUAGUCCGUCCUAGCGACAAACACAUAUAGGGACAUGGAACAAGUCCAUGAGCGUAUUUGAUAAUGGAAAAUUCAAAAAUGCGCACCAAACGCAGCACAGAAGAACGAGAAUUUGUUUUGUUUGUGUUACUUAUAUUUUUUGUGUUUUUUUUUUAUAAUUGGUAUAAAAAAGAAGAUGUGGUAUGAUUGCCAAUGAGACAACUAUCCACAAUAGACCAAAAUGACACAGACAUUAACAACUAUAGGUCACCGUACGGCCUUCAACAAUGAGCAAAGCCAACACCGCAUAGUCAGCUAU